This is a long non-coding RNA of Bos taurus (domestic cattle), 2038 nucleotides long. Lineage: Eukaryota; Metazoa; Chordata; Mammalia; Artiodactyla; Bovidae. The record is from Ensembl.
AGGCAGGUCCUAGCUUUUAUGAAAAAAGGUGCUGUAUUAAUUGAUCCUACUAUAGGCCCUCCAACACUAAGGGUCUAGUUCUUUACUGGACAGUGCAAAAUACCUAUAGAGGAACCAUCAGACCCUUCUCUGGUUGGGUCAGCUGCCUCUUGGAAUCCCCAGUUUUAGUUUAUUUUCAAAGUCUCCUCUUUCAAGGUGCGUCCACCUCCCUAUAAUCCCUCAGUUCCCUAUCCAAGGGUGCCAACCCAUGGACCUUUAAGGCUUUUGUGUUAUUACAUGUGGGACAGACUGGGUGACUCAGAGCAGAGCUACCAGAGCUCCCAACCAAGGUCUUCGGUUUGUUUCCAUUCUUGGUUACUACCAAGACUACUAUCCACACACAAUCAUUAACUUACCAAGGACAGGAGCUAAAAGAUCCACCAGUUUGGGAAUCAGAUUUAGUCUUGGGAGAUACCCACUCUACAGUUACCAUCACACAGACAGUUGUAAAUAUCGAGUGUUUUAAGACUGCACUGCUUUUAAAUGACCACAGAGAAAACAGCUCCACAAAUAGAAAUCUAGCACUCUCAGAAACCUGUUGCAGUGUUCAGCCUUCUUUUCCCUCUCACCAUAGCUUUCAUAAAAUCUGUUUUAGCUAAGUCUGGUGUUCUGCAGUCUUAAAUACUCUCAGUUUUUUUUCUGGCUAAACCCAACAUGGACAAAGCUAACUAAACCAGAAACCUAGAGUGUGUUGGAUGGAAUGGGGAGCCAUUGAUCCCUUCUCAACAACUCAGGGUAAUAAUAUGCUCCUCCUAACAUGGUAAUAUGUUCCUGAUAGUUUGGGGGACUAAGAUGAAGGUGAAAAUAGGAAAGCAAGACAGUGAGUUGUGUAGAGAAAGUAGUAAAAAAAGACACAGCACGCUCUUCCCCACUAGGCUCACUUCUACCCUUCCCCUCGCAUCAGAACCUGGUUCUUUUCUAAGCUAAUGUAUCAAUAGUUGUCUUAGCCUCGUGACUGGCCAGAUGGAUAGCUGAGUCCAGCUCACCCAUUUCAUCCUGUGAAGUCUGUUUUACCUCCUUGACCUUUAAUGAUACCUGUUCUGUGGCCAGCAAUGAGUGGACUACAGAGUAGGAUGUUCAGAGCUAGUCUGGAGAUAGCAACUGGUGACUUAGUUUAGAUAUAAGCUAGGAGCCUUGGAAGUGGGUGAGAACAAAGAACAAUGAGGAGGGCAAGAAGAGAGGUGAGACCCUUGGGAGCCACUGAUAUUUAGGGGAGGAUGGGGAAAGAAGCCUGGGAAAGAUUCUGAUUACUAGGCAGAAGUAACCAAGGACAAGACCAGGCUGUCUUCGCACACACGGGUGAGAGAUGGGGAGUGGCUGGGAUGAAUGACCAGGAUUCAGAAAUGGAACUUCACUAGUGAUCCUGAGGCAGGAGGUGACAAGGAGGAGACAUGAGUGGGAAGUGAAGGAAUAGUGCUUGGGCUCCACUUCAACCAAAGCAAGGACCAAUUUUUACAUAUUAGACCUCUGAGUAAGAUUUCAUUCAAACAAAGGAAACUGCUACCUUAAAAAAAAAUCAUCAAGAGCAAAUACCCAAAAGCAAACAGUUUGAAAGCAUAAAGCAGAGUAAACUGAACAUAUUGUUACAUCUUUUUUCUAGAUUUGGGCUGAAGUGACCUAGAGGGGUAAACAAUGCCAAGUGAGAGCAAGACAUUUCAAGGUACUGAAUAGCCAUCUUAAAACCCAGUUUAAAAAUUCCAAGCUUUCAAAAUCACCUAGAAACCAAAACAUGGCAUUGUUCAGUCGCUAAAUCAUGUCCGACUUUUGCGACCCCAUGAGCUGCAGCACAUCAGGCUUCCCUGUCCUUCACUAUCUCCCUAAGUUUGCUCAAACUCAUGUCUAUUGAGUCAGGGAUGCUCAAAAUAUGGCAUAUGUACAACCAUAUAAGCUAUCUUGGCUGCCAGAGAAAUGUGGUUUCUAAUUUAUACAGUGGAAUUUUGGGGUCCUUUAAGCCUGUCCUGGUCUCCUGUCAAACUGGAACACCAGGGACUUUGAAUGG